Molecule: ribosomal RNA, 356 nt
Filed under: uncultured bacterium
Lineage: Bacteria
Description: partial 16S ribosomal RNA
Rfam family: Bacterial small subunit ribosomal RNA
Source: RNAcentral
CCUACGGGAGGCAGCAGUGGGGAAUAUUGCGCAAUGGGCGAAAGCCUGACCCAGCGACGCCGCGUGAGGGAUGAAGGUCCUCGGAUCGUAAAACUCUGUCAGCCGGGAAGAAAGGUCACCGUGCUAAUCAGCAGUGAAUUGACGGUACCUGCAAAGGAAGCACCGGCUAACUCCGUGCCAGCAGCCGCGGUAAUACGGCGGGUGCGUGCGUUAAUCGGAAUUACUGGGCGUAAAGCGCUCGUAGGCGGGAAGUCAAGUCAAGGGUGAAAUCCCCGCGCCCAACGUGGGAACUGCCUUUGAAACUGGCAAACUGGGGUGUGUGGGAGGAUAGUGGAAUUGCGGGUGGAGGAGUGAAA